Molecule: long non-coding RNA, 1281 nt
Filed under: Mytilus galloprovincialis (Mediterranean mussel)
Lineage: Eukaryota; Metazoa; Mollusca; Bivalvia; Mytilida; Mytilidae
Source: RNAcentral
CUUUUUUCUAUUAAUUUCUUUUGUUAGUAAGAGUCCUUGUGAAAGAUGCAAGGACAGAAUGCAGACAUGUUUGGAUGGUUAAGGAACAUAAUCUAGCAACUACGUAUGAAGUACAAGAACAAACAAACUUAUGAAAAUUGUUAAUAAUAUUUCACCAAUAACUUUAAUUGUAAUUUCCUGAACAAUUGAUAUUUCAAUGUUUUUGUAUGGAACGCCAUGACUGUCUUCUGAUGUUGAUUUUUGGUAUGUUCGGUGCUUUGUGUAUUAUGUUCAUUAGUAUUUAUAUCAUGUCCAGUAGUUUUUAUAUUAUGCUCAGUAGUUUUGACAUUAUGUUCAGUAGUUUUGACAUUAUGUUUAGUAGUUUUGACAUUAUGAUCGGUGCUUUGGUUAUUAUGUUCAGUAGUUUCAUUAUUAUAUGCAGUGGUAGUUAAAUUAUGUUGGGUACUUCUGACGAUAUCUUCAGUGCAUUUUUCAUUAUGUUCAGUACUUUAGACAUUAUGUUCAGUAGAUAAAAUAUUAUUUACAGUACAUUAUGUAUUACCUUCAGUGGUCCCGGUUUCUUUAUAUUCGGUGGAUUAUUCAUUAUGUUCAGUAAAAGCAUCAGUAUUAUAUUUUGUUCAAUGCUCUAUAUGUUCAGUGGUUGUAUCAUUAUGAUGAUGCAGUUAAAGUCGGGAAAUCAAUAACGGAAAUUGUCGAAGAAAAAAAAAACCAAAUGCCGAUAUUUUCGACGGACGUUUUCUUUAUGGAAACCUUUACGGGAUUGAAUGAAAAAGGAAGAAAUGGAAGCAGUAUUAACUUGGUUUGGUUUACUUUCACACGUUGACAAUUUUUAUAAGGAAAAAAAUACUCCUGACGUAAUUUUUACGAUGUCCUGAUUGACUGAUAAUAAUGUUUUGAACGUACAGUGGCAAAUAUUUCACGCAUUUGACUGAUUGUUAUUUUUUGAACGUACUUAGUGGCAAAUAUGUCACGCAUAUUCUAUAGCUUUUGAUUUUCUUGUAGGUAACCCUUUUUGUUGGUUUGUUGUAGCAUAUUAAUCUUAGGUACCGACUUUAAACAGACCACCAACCUUGUAGAUAUUCUUAUAGUAUUCUGCAUCCUACAUCUCUAAUAGGCGCUUUAAUAUCAGAUAUUUUUUUGAAAUAACCAAAGAAAUAUGAGGUUGUGGAUGAAGUUUACAGAAUAGAAAAUAAUGCCCACCCCCAAAAACGAAGGUGACAAAAACAUAAAGUACAGAAAAAAAAAAGGGUUGCUUAAAUGUAAAAAAAAAUCUUUCAAACU